GAAACGCGAUAGUUAAUGUGAAUUGCAGAAUUCAGUGAAUCAUCGAGUCUUUGAACGCACAUUGCGCCUUCCGGUAUUCCGGGAAGCACACCUGUUUGAGCGUCAUUAUAAACCCUCCGGCCUGAGGUUUAUUCCAACGGCACGGGUGCAUUGGCGCGGGGAUCCCCGGGCGCCGCGUUUCGGCGCGGCUGGCCCCUCUCCCGUCUAAACGCGUGGAAAGCUAGCGGGCGGAAGCCCCCAUUGCGACGACUCGUAGGAAUUAAAACCCUGUCGUGCCGGCAUUGGGAUCCGCCCCGCCUACCAACCCACGGGGGUGCCAACACCCCCAGUAUCUUGACCUCAAAUCAGGCGAGGAUACCCGCUGAACUUAA
RNAcentral lists this unclassified non-coding RNA (371 nucleotides) under uncultured Orbiliales. Its description in RNAcentral is "sequence contains ITS1". The stretch from base 1 to 105 matches the Rfam family "5.8S ribosomal RNA", at positions 50 to 154 of the family's 154-position model. The record is from RNAcentral. Lineage: Eukaryota; Fungi; Ascomycota; Orbiliomycetes; Orbiliales.